This 22-nucleotide unclassified non-coding RNA is filed under the name Mus musculus (house mouse). RNAcentral's name for it is "oocyte_clustered_small_RNA4880". The record is from RNAcentral. Lineage: Eukaryota; Metazoa; Chordata; Mammalia; Rodentia; Muridae.
UAGUCAGGUAACUGUGGGGAGG